Molecule: ribosomal RNA, 301 nt
Filed under: uncultured bacterium
Lineage: Bacteria
Description: partial 16S ribosomal RNA
Rfam family: Bacterial small subunit ribosomal RNA
Source: RNAcentral
CAGUCGCCGCGGUAAUACGUAGGUGGCAAGCGUUGUCCGGAAUUAUUGGGCGUAAAGCGCGCGCAGGCGGAUAGGUCAGUCUGUCUUAAAAGUUCGGGGCUUAACCCCGUGAUGGGAUGGAAACUGCCAAUCUAGAGUAUCGGAGAGGAAAGUGGAAUUCCUAGUGUAGCGGUGAAAUGCGUAGAUAUUAGGAAGAACACCAGUGGCGAAGGCGACUUUCUGGACGAAAACUGACGCUGAGGCGCGAAAGCCAGGGGAGCGAACGAGAUUAGAGACCCGCGUAGUCCCUGUCUCUUAUCAC